GGACGGCUCCCUCCUCUGAGUCCUUGAUGGCCUUUAGGAUCUCAGGGUCGUCGCCAAACACCUUCUUGUACGUCUCCUGCUUGUAGCGUACCCGUAGCUCCUGCAGAAGGCGACGAAGGAGGUGAAGUAAAGAGUCUGAACUGGAAGCUCUGGAAUCCUGACGCGGGUGAGAGGUAGUCCCGGAACUCCAUGAAGUCCAGGGGCGUCAUGGUCUCCAGGAUAAGGAACUGGUCCACGCACAGCUGGCGGGGAAGGGAAGGUCCUUGACACCACAACGCCACUCCCUCGGCCUGUCCUCGCGUGCCCAGCCUCACCCCGCCUCAUCCCCGCAGCCUGCCAUUCUCUCCUCCUUCAGUCACCCAUCACUGCUUGAACCAAUCUCUUCUUCACCGGUGUACUUGGCUCACAGUCAUAAUCCGUUCAAAAAUCGCCGUUACGAAGCAAAAAAACGGAUGCAUGACAAAUCUGUAUUCUCGAAAAAUUGAAAGAAAUCCCCCAUCAAAAAAGUUCCUGUGAUAAAAGUGCAGAAAAAUGCGUCUAAACAAUAUCUUUUACUCUGCAAUGCACGGCAGUGUGUGUACCAUUACCAAAUGUACCAGUAAAGGCUUCUUGGCCCUGAAUUUUGUUUACGUCGCACUUGUUAUGUCCCUUAUGCCACUUCAAUAUUAGGAAAUUCUCUCUCUCUCUCUCUCUCUCGAUCGAUCGAUCGAUCGACCCUUCGUCUUUCAGAAUAUAAAAGAUAAAGACAC
This is a long non-coding RNA of Scylla paramamosain (green mud crab), 749 nucleotides long. RefSeq lists it as uncharacterized. The transcript has 4 exons. The record is from RefSeq and is a predicted model, not a curated record. NCBI's taxonomy places the organism in Eukaryota, Metazoa, Arthropoda, Malacostraca, Decapoda, Portunidae.